RNAcentral lists this transfer RNA (74 nucleotides) under Spirochaetes bacterium RBG_13_51_14. RNAcentral's name for it is "tRNA-Val". It matches the Rfam family "tRNA". Rfam says of the family: Transfer RNA (tRNA) molecules are approximately 80 nucleotides in length. Their secondary structure includes four short double-helical elements and three loops (D, anti-codon, and T loops). Lineage: Bacteria; Pseudomonadati; Spirochaetota. RNAcentral also lists the same sequence under 2 other names. The record is from RNAcentral.
GGGCAAUUAGCUCAGUCGGUUAGAGCGCCUGCCUCACAUGCAGGAGGUCGAUGGUUCGAGUCCAUUAUUGCCCA